ACKGCUCAGUAACACGUGGCUAACCUGCUCUCGAGACGGAGACACCCCGGGAAACUGGGGCUGACACCCGAUAGGUGAUUAGCUCUGGAAUGAUUUCUUACCUAAUAGAUGAUGUAACUAUGCUUCUGGUCUCCCCUCAAAAAGGGGGUGCGGACGAUCCAGGAUGUGGUGAAGGAACCGGUUCCCCAGCCUAUUACCGGGAGCGGGCCGGGGUGCGGGAAGCCCGAAAAGGACACUGGAAACAAGGGCCCAGGCCUAACGGGGGGCACAAUCCCGCCAACUUUUGCAUAACCCAAAAUGGGACCGGGCUAAUCCCAAUGGCCGCCCGUUGAGAAGGGUUUUUCCCUAUCUAAAAACGUGGGAGAAUUAAGGAAAGGGAAGUCUUGGGGCCACCCGCCCGGGAAUUCCCACUCCUCCAAUGGGGGGGAAGGUUAUUGGGGCCUAAACAUUCCUAACUUGGCCAACCCAUCCCCUGGUAAACCCCACCAAUUAAUUCUUGGAAUUGCGGGGAAUCCGGUUCGCUAAGGGACCAAAGAAGGCGAACGGAAUCUCCGGGGAAGGGUGAAUUCUACUAUUCCCGGAAACCCACCAUGGCCAAGGUUGUCUGUUAACCAACCCAACGGAAGACUAAGCUUGGAACCAACGGAUAAUUACCGUAAGUCCAUUGUACCAAUGCAGUUAGGGUUGACCGCCACUCCUCUCUAGGCAAGAACUGUAACUUGCCUGGAAACCAUCCCAGAUGACUUAGAGAUUGCCGGAACAUCUCUCUAGAUAUCCGGUACCAAUCU
This 788-nucleotide ribosomal RNA is filed under the name uncultured Thermoproteales archaeon. RNAcentral describes it as "bacterial SSU rRNA". It matches the Rfam family "Archaeal small subunit ribosomal RNA", at positions 85 to 752 of the family's 1478-position model. Lineage: Archaea; Thermoproteati; Thermoproteota; Thermoprotei; Thermoproteales. The record is from RNAcentral.